Molecule: long non-coding RNA, 1701 nt
Filed under: Corvus moneduloides (New Caledonian crow)
Lineage: Eukaryota; Metazoa; Chordata; Aves; Passeriformes; Corvidae
Description: lncRNA (ENSCMUG00000018265.1)
Source: RNAcentral
GCACAAAGUCAAACCCCUCCAUGUCCUGCUACCCUGUUUGUGGCCAAAGUGUGACUGCCUCAAACCAUAAGAAGCUUGACAACAUUCUUUUUCCCUUUGGUGUGGUGCCAGCUGAACAGGGCACUACAAAAUGUCCUGAAAGCUGGAGCCUGAAAAAGACAAUGUGCAAUACAGGACAGUUUUGCAACACCGGCUCUAGCUGCAAUGUUGCUUGUAAAAAUAUCAUUUGCUUUCAUGGAAUAUUUUCUGUAUGUGCUGGAAUUUCAAACCCGCUUUUCAUACUGAAGUUUUAAGAUUGUGCUUUCUGGUUCAACUGCUUUCAAUCAGCAGAUACACUCCCAGAACAGAAACAGAAGUGCCGGGAACCAACACCACUCUCUGAGGUACAAUAAGGCUCACCUAAUUGCUUCCUGACUUGCUGAUCCAUCAUCCUGACCCCCUCUUUGAUGUUUUCUUUCUUUAUUUUUCCUUGAGCAUUAGUAACAAGUGAGAAAUGCUGUCUCAGGGUGUUAUAUAUGGGAUUAUUCCUCUAUCCCCAGCACAGUGACCGUAUGUAAUGGGAUUAUCUCUUAUUUAAAAUAAAAAAGACUUGGAAACAUCAAAUCCUGUGUAUGAAAAAGUAGUUUCUUUAUGGUGGUUCCUUUACUUGUAAAAAAAAAAUUCUUUUUUUUGCUUUGUAAUAAUACAUUUAUGUCAGUCAGCAAAACAAACCCAAAUGCUGCAGAAGUCUCCUUUCUGCUAGCUAAAUUUAGCUUGUUCUUCCUCUCCUUCUGUAUAUAUAUUCCUCUAACAUCUAAAGGGCUAUUGCCCCCUUGGAGUACAUUUAUUGCUGGUGUAAACACUGAAAACUGAUGAGGCCAGAUGAUGGAGCCUUCUGCCAAUGUCCAUUCUUAGCCUGCCUUCAUUUCAAAAUACCUGAACUGGUACCAGUUGGUGCCAAAAUUCUGAGGUAUGAAUAUACAGCUAGAAAGGAAGAAAAUGGGCAAUGUGUGUCAGUUAGCACUAAAUGCAUGUUCUGCUUGCUUCAAGGAGAUGUGUGAAUACUUUCACAGUACACAACUGUGGGAGGAGGAGAAACUCCUGGCACAAAUCAAAGAACAAAACAUAGGAGUAUUGGGGAGGGAAAAGAGAGGCCUUUUCUAGAUCUGGGUUAGAUCUGUCACAGUGUCAGUUUCCUUAAGGUUAGGUCUUUUGCAAAGAGAAAUCUAGUUCUGAUUUUUAGACUUGAAAUUUGUGAGAGUUGCCCAGGAGACUCUUUUUUAGGUUCUUUGGCUAAGCUCUUGAACAUUUUCAGAUGUGCUUAAAUCUAAAAAGUAUAAAUGGAGAUGCAAACUUGGAUCAAAAAACCCCAAAUCACAUCAUCAGUAUUUGCUUUGAACUUUCAAGUCUCUUUCUGCCCCUCAUAUUUGCAUAGACACAGGGUUUGAAGUGUAUCAGAUCAGGGGCUCUGGUUGACUGUCCAUCUGAUUGAGAAAUAAGUUAACGUUCCCUCUCAGAACAAGAGUUAUGCCUAGAUUCACCAGCUUUUAUGUACAUUUCCUUUUAAUGGGUGUAUAGAAUAUGCUGCAAAGACCAUUAACUCACACGUUUCUAUCCAAGGCAGCCAUUUCUAUGCUCUGUCACCUCUUUGCUAUCUUGCAAAAAAGCAAGCUGGUCUGCCUUUGAAGGUAACUCCUUACCAUUUCCAUGCCAGUUUUGAGA